This 386-nucleotide ribosomal RNA is filed under the name uncultured bacterium. RNAcentral's name for it is "bacterial SSU rRNA". It matches the Rfam family "Bacterial small subunit ribosomal RNA", at positions 29 to 417 of the family's 1533-position model. The record is from RNAcentral.
ACGAACGCUGGCGGCGUGCUUAACACAUGCAAGUCGAGCGGUAAGGCCCUUUCGGGGGUACACGAGCGGCGAACGGGUGAGUAACACGUGGGUGACCUGCCCUCAGCUCUGGGAUAAGCCUGGGAAACCGGGUCUAAUACUGGAUAUGACUCCAUGACGCAUGUUGUGGGUGGAAAGCCUUGUGCGGCUGAGGAUGGGCCCGCGGCCUAUCAGCUUGUUGGUGGGGUGAUGGCCUACCAAGGCGACGACGGGUAGCCGGCCUGAGAGGGCGACCGGCCACACUGGGACUGAGACACGGCCCAGACUCCUACGGGAGGCAGCAGUGGGGAAUCUUGCGCAAUGGGCGAAAGCCUGACGCAGCGACGCCGCGUGAGGGAUGACGGCCU